This is a long non-coding RNA of Brassica oleracea var. oleracea, 1196 nucleotides long. RefSeq lists it as uncharacterized. NCBI's taxonomy places the organism in Eukaryota, Viridiplantae, Streptophyta, Magnoliopsida, Brassicales, Brassicaceae. The record is from RefSeq and is a predicted model, not a curated record. The transcript has 2 exons.
ACAAUUCACUUUUUCUUUUUCUUUUAGAGAGGUUUAGUCUCGGGAACGAAGUCCUCUCGCGACAAAAGAACCCUAAGAAAGAGUCACCGUCUUCUGAUAUGCUGCUCCGGCGGUCGGAGUUUCUCACCACCGCCGGGAGCGGUUCCGCUACGUCUCUCUGUUCGUCGUCUUAGUUUAAAUUGCGGCAUCUCAACAUCGUUUAGGGAGAGUUACCAUGGAUAUACUCUGGCCUGCCAUCGGAUGGAAAACCAAGUGAUGGUGGCCUCAUCGACUUCUCUGUGAUGGCUGUGAGCCAGACUGUCGGAAUCCGGCGUCAGUGAAGUCUGAUGUUCAAGCUUCUUUUCAAGGUCUAAACCGGCUCUGAUGUGGGUGGCUACUUCUUCCAUCGGAUUUGGUGAAAUAUUCUUCAUAAGGUUUCGGUGAUGUAGUGUUUUCGAAGGCCUUCUCUUUGUCCCUUGACGUUCUUGUCUAGGAUUAUCUUAGCUUUGGCUUGUGUUCUAUCGUUGGAUUGUGAACAAGAUUUCUUUGACUUUCUGGAGUGUGGUGGUCUUAAGCAUUGAUGGCUAGUGUCUUCAUAGUGCCUUCGGUUAGGAUCUCCUUGCCUUCGUCUAUGGUAUUGACAUCUAUCCUCUGUGGCGUCAUGUUGCUUACCGGAAUUUGUAUGCGGUAAGGCCUUGCUCGAUCUGUGAUUUAUUGGAGUAUUGUCUAUGUGAAGCACCGAUGCUGUGAAAUUGUGUUGUUCCUUGGUUUUUAACCGACGGGUUCUCCCGAUUUCUUGGUAAGAAAUUGUGGAGCUUUAGCUCGAUCGCGAUUGGUCUUUGAGUAGUUUGAUUGUCAACCGAGUUCUUCUUCUUCGGCUGCUCGGGUGAAGAUCAGUUAUCUUGUGGCUUCCCUCAGUUGAAGCUUGUUCUUGAGUGGCUGGUGCUCGUAGUUCUGUAUCGGAACUGUCUUUGGAGCUUUGCUAUCACCCCAAUAAUUUAGACCAUCAUCGCUUUCUCUCUCAUUCCGGCUUCCAUCAUUGUGGCUUCUCAUUCAUGAUACUUGUUUUUAACUCCAAAAGUUUCUUCUGAUCUUGUUCCCUUAUAGAUUUAAGUCUUAUCAGUUGUUGUCUUGGUUCUUUUCUUGAUUCCAGCUGUUGGCUCUGGAAAGGUUUUCGUACCUUUGCCAGAUGAUAAAAAAAAAAAAAAAUUCAACAA